This 324-nucleotide ribosomal RNA is filed under the name uncultured bacterium. RNAcentral describes it as "bacterial SSU rRNA". It matches the Rfam family "Bacterial small subunit ribosomal RNA", at positions 28 to 355 of the family's 1533-position model. The record is from RNAcentral.
GACGAACGCUGGCGGCGUGCUUAACACAUGCAAGUCGAGCGAUGAAGCACUUUCGGGUGUGAAUUAGCGGCGAACGGGUGAGGAACACGUGAAGAAUCUGCCUUCAACUCUGGGAUAACUCCGGGAAACCGGGGCUAAUACCGGAUAUGAGCCUUGAUCGCAUGAUCGGGGCUGGAAAGUUUUUCGGUUGAAGAUGACUUCGCGGCCUAUCAGCUUGUUGGUGAGGUAAUGGCUCACCAAGGCGACGACGGGUAGCCGGCCUGAGAGGGCGACCGGCCACACUGGGACUGAGACACGGCCCAGACUCCUACGGGAGGCAGCAGU